GCUAAUACCGCAUACGGUCCUACGGGAGGAAAGCGGGGGGAUCUUCGGACCUCGCGCCAUUAGAUGAGCCUAGGUCGGAUUAGCUAGUUGGUGAGGUAAUGGCUCACCAAGGCGACGAUCCGUAACUGGUCUGAGAGGAUGAUCAGUCACACUGGAACUGAGACACGGUCCAGACUCCUACGGGAGGCAGCAGUGGGGAAUAUUGGACAAUGGGCGAAAGCCUGAUCCAGCCAUGCCGCGUGUGUGAAGAAGGUCUUCGGAUUGUAAAGCACUUUAAGUUGGGAGGAAGGGUAGUAACCUAAUACGUUGCUACUUUGACGUUACCGACAGAAUAAGCACCGGCUAACUUCGUG
This 353-nucleotide ribosomal RNA is filed under the name uncultured bacterium. RNAcentral's name for it is "bacterial SSU rRNA". It matches the Rfam family "Bacterial small subunit ribosomal RNA", at positions 162 to 507 of the family's 1533-position model. The record is from RNAcentral.